Strigops habroptila (Kakapo) is the source of this 1314-nucleotide long non-coding RNA. RefSeq lists it as uncharacterized. The transcript is spliced from 2 exons. The record is from RefSeq and is a predicted model, not a curated record. NCBI's taxonomy places the organism in Eukaryota, Metazoa, Chordata, Aves, Psittaciformes, Psittacidae.
GGCCUCUUUUCCUUUAUGCUGCUCCCCUCCACAGUCGUGUGACUGCUAUUGUGUGGUCCCUGCCACACAAAAGCUAGCCUGACCUAAUUUAAAUCAGUGCUGUUGAAGCCGUUCUUGUUUUAUCUCCCAGCACAAGGGCUGUGCUCCCCAUUUCAGAGGGAGCAGAAAUGAAUGGCUAAUUGGGGGGGUAUUGUGCAAGGCAGCGUUGUCUCCCAGCCCUGAUUGUCAGCUCUCCUGCUCGGCAGUGCUCCGAGCUCCGCUCUCCUGGAACAGCCAUGUAGGCUGCUUCGGGAGCAGAGGGAGGGAAAGGGGAGAUGGGACUCCACAGCCAUCGCAGCGUGUCAGGCAAACAAAGCCCAGCAUGGCCGCCUCCAGCGCGCUGCUGAAAGGACUGGCAGGGGGAGGGUUCCCUGCUUCAGAAAGGGCAGAUAAUAGUAGAGAAGAUCCAUCUUCCACCUCCAAAUAAGCCCCCUGCUUUCUUUUCCUUGGGGGUUUAUGUGACAGUCCUUCCUAGCGCUCUAAAGACUGUCAGUGAGGAGGGGGGGUGAGGUGGGAAGAGCUCUCACAGCGAGCAGCACCGCAGGGGUUGUAAGUGGGAUAGGUCAGGGGCUGGAGACUAAAUGCUGCCAGUCUCUUUGUCCUGUAGGGCAAAGUUUGAGUGGCCACUAUCAACGGAUCUUCAUAAGAAAAGCAAGAACAUCCCCAGGAGGCAUUUCAGCAAGAUGCAGCCAGCACCCAGAGGGAGCUUUGUGACCUCAGAGUUGCCCAUAGGAGGAGGAUCUAGAGUCCGCAACCCAUCCACACGGUACCUUCCAAGAGCUUCCUGCCUGGGGCUGUCUGAUCUGCAGCUCUCCUUUCUCCAUGGAUCACCAGACUGAAAGGGGCCUGUGGAGGAAAACAAAACGAGAAGCCUUUGAGUCUUUCCAUUGAUGGUUUUGGGUCACUUACAGAUCCACUUCCUCCUGCUCAAGGGAGAGGACUUUGCUCGCUGCUAUCGAUUAGGUUUGCCCCCAGCGCGCUCCCCUGACGCACAGUGCAAAGGUUGCUGCCAGAGUCCUCCCCUGCAGGCUCUGCCAGCUGCAGGCAAGAGGAGCCCAGCACAGGGUGUUCAACAGCAGCGUGAAGCAAACAAGUCCCAAGGCUGCAGGUUUGUCAUGGACUUUAAUGUCAUGUUCUAAUGUCAUUGCAAGUCAGAUCAGGAUAAAUUACUGGAGUUAAAGGACAUGGUACAACCUCCUCUCGAUCCCUUUUAGCCCCAAAUGAACAGAUCAGCUACAAAACUGUAAAAUUAAAAGUAGAUUUUGUUAAAAGUAA